Long non-coding RNA from Paramacrobiotus metropolitanus, 584 nucleotides. RefSeq lists it as uncharacterized. Lineage: Eukaryota; Metazoa; Tardigrada; Eutardigrada; Parachela; Macrobiotidae. The record is from RefSeq and is a predicted model, not a curated record. The transcript has 3 exons.
CAAACAUAACCAUCAGCUCGUUGUUAUUUCUUGGUUAACGGUUGAAUGCUUAUCCAAAAUAGUCCCAACAAGUUUAUUUUGAUCCGUCAGUCCUUAAUUACAGUCCGAAAAAGAUGCGCCAAAUUCUAGGUGUGGUGAUUCUUGGGAUUAUGCUGGCGUUUCCUCAAGCGGAUGCUUGCAACCUGAAUAUCAGCCCAGUGUGUGGUGUGGAUGGGAAGACAUACAAGAACGAAUGUUUUGCUAAGUCGGCGGGAGCCAAAAUUGCUCAUAAGGGCAAUUGUUCCGGUGGGUGCGACCAUGAAAAAUCCGCUUGACUUCGGUCCACAAUUAUUCAACUGUGAAAAAGUGGAAGUUGAACGAAAAGAGCGGAGUUGUACCAUUCCUUGUUUUGUCCGAUAAAACAGGCUUCGCUUCCGUGAUUGUUUAUGAUAGUUGUAUCUUGUGGGCCUUGUGGCUCGAGUAACAUUUUAUGACAAAAUGCGGAUGUUUUAUAUUCCAUUUUGUCCUUUCAUGGAAAACCCUAAGAACAUGUUGUUAAUUAUUCAUAAUUGGGUGCUUAUUACCAUGAGGGUUCAAGACGAUUG